This 1000-nucleotide small RNA is filed under the name Rattus norvegicus (Norway rat). Its description in RNAcentral is "uncharacterized LOC102556228". Lineage: Eukaryota; Metazoa; Chordata; Mammalia; Rodentia; Muridae. The record is from RNAcentral.
CCUUGGCUGAUGCUCCCUGGGUGGCUUGUUCAUAACAAGGUUGGUUAUAGCAUGUUUAGCAUGAUUGACCCCUGAAGGGCUGAGCCUGUACCGUCAGCUGUGCAGUCCAGUGUGGCAGUGUCAGGCAACGAUACUUACAACUCGACAUUUAGACCCAUGCACCUCACUCAUGCCAAUUGGGUGAAACUGUCCAGCACAACCUCCAUGAGUGGCGUCAUCCCAGCAGGAACAACUCCAUGACAAGUGAUGUGUCUGUGUGGUAGUUUUCCCCUGGAGUCCACUUCUGAAGAGAAGCAGUUUCAAGAGGCAGACAAAGGAGGGAGAUGAAAAUCAGCAGGGCCCAGCAGGAGUUAGCUGGAUGGCCUCAGAAUACCUGAAGCUAGGUGAUGGAUAAAGAAAAAAGGUUCAGUUGACUUGCGGUGCUGGUGGCUGGCUGCUCUGCAGUCCAGGGAGAGGUGGCUCAAGCAAAGGUGACUCUGGGGACAUUGUCAUUGUCGAUUGUUUGAAGAGGCUCGGGUCUUGAAUGUGAAAUGAUGCUUAAAAGAGACUUUGACAACCAUCCUAGGAGAAAGGCGAAGACGCUAACAGUUGUGAAAUGGACACUUGCUGAGGAAACACGAGAACGUCUGCAUUUCCAUAAACUUGAGAAAACUCCUGAGUAUUUGGAGGCAUGCAGGGGUGAAGAAGAAAUGCCAAGUGCUUACAAGACUGAUUUUCCUGAGAAAGUGACUCAUUUUCCCUGUGUAUAUUUCUAUGUCGCCAUGGUUCUGGCAGGCAUAUGCUGCAAGGAAUCUUCCAAGAUGGUCAGAGGCAUCAGCAGAUUAUGCUAAUGCUGACGGCUCUGUUUCCAGCCUCCACCGAUGAGUGCCUCUGCCUUCCUUGGCUCAUAUCAACACAUUGAAAUGAAGCUUACAGAAUGUGGCGGUAAGACAAAUUAUGAUUGCCUUCACUCUGUGUGUGGGUGUGGGGAUGCACAGGCACAUGUGUGCAUGCACGCAAA